RNAcentral lists this transfer RNA (86 nucleotides) under Candidatus Aenigmatarchaeota archaeon. RNAcentral describes it as "tRNA-Leu". It matches the Rfam family "tRNA". From Rfam's summary of the family: Transfer RNA (tRNA) molecules are approximately 80 nucleotides in length. Their secondary structure includes four short double-helical elements and three loops (D, anti-codon, and T loops). Lineage: Archaea; Nanobdellati; Candidatus Aenigmatarchaeota. The record is from RNAcentral.
GCAGGGGUACCCAAGUCCGGUCAAAGGGACAUGGCUUAGGACCAUGUGGCUUAGUGCCUUCGCCGGUUCAAAUCCGGCCUCCUGCA